CAUGGUCGCCCCGAGCUUCGCCCGUAGCCGCGCCACCCGCCUCCGGCCACGACUCCGGUGGGAUUGGGCCGCCACUGCCUUGAUCUGCAUCCUCUGCUCCGCUGCGCACCGGAUCCGGCCACCACCAAGCCUCCCGCGCCGAUCCGCCCGUUCAUCGGCAGCGAGGCGCGGCGCAAGCUUGCGGGUGGCGGCGGCCAUGGCGGGGAGGCGGUGCUGCGCUAGGGGUUCUCUGGGGUAGCGCCAUGGUUGCUCCCGUGCUCUUGGAAGUUAAAGGAGGGAGGAUGCGGGAGAGGGAGAGAGAACACAAGAGGAAUGAGAGAAACGAGGGGAGGCACGGCAGGGAGCUGUGCGGCUGGUUGCUCCGGUGAAGAGAAGAUAGGGCGUGGACGUUCGCGGGAGUGGGCAGCGGAGGCGCUGGUCGGGGAGCGCAUGGUGCUGGUUCCCAGGGGGAGAUUGGCGAGGAAGAGGACGGUCUGGUGCGCUGCUGGUGCGAGGAGGGCAGGGGAGAGGGACGGUGCUCUCUAUGUUGUGCGCUGCUGCUGCUAAUCUGAUGUGGAGCACACACAAAGGCGGAUGGCGAGGGAGCAGAUGAUUUAUCUGGGAUCUGAAUUUGGCAGGUAAAAGCUGAUCUGUUUGCUGCUGGCUGGCUUCAUGUGAUGCUAUAUUGCGUUAUGGAGAGGUACAGAGGUUACAUACAGGACCAUGAACGUUUCAACUAUUGGAUUUAUGGGUAAAAUAUUUCUUCA
Molecule: long non-coding RNA, 746 nt
Organism: Triticum dicoccoides
Lineage: Eukaryota; Viridiplantae; Streptophyta; Magnoliopsida; Poales; Poaceae
Exons: 2
Source: RefSeq, a predicted model, not a curated record